This 502-nucleotide ribosomal RNA is filed under the name uncultured archaeon. Its description in RNAcentral is "bacterial SSU rRNA". It matches the Rfam family "Archaeal small subunit ribosomal RNA", at positions 25 to 528 of the family's 1478-position model. The record is from RNAcentral.
UACUGCUAUCGAGGUUCGACUAAGCCAUGCGAGUCGAAUGUUCUUUAGGGACAUGGCGUACUGCUCAGUAACACGUGGAUAACCUGCCCUGAGGUCAGGGAUAAUCCUGGGAAACUGGGAAUAAUCCCUGAUAAGCCAGAGAUGCUGGAAAGCGCUCUGGUAUAAAGUUACGGCGCCUCAGGAUGGGUCUGCGGCCUAUCAGGGUAGUAGUGGGUGUAAAGUACCUACUAGCCGACGACGGGUACGGGUUGUGAGAGCAAGAGCCCGGAGAUGGAUUCUGAGACACGAAUCCAGGCCCUACGGGGUGCAGCAGGCGCGAAAACUUUACAAUGCGGGACACCGCGAUAAGGGGACCUCGAGUGCCAGCAUACAAUGUUGGCUGUCGUGAUGCCUAAAAAGCAUCGUAUAGCAAGGGCCGGGCAAGACCGGUGCCAGCCGCCGCGGUAACACCGGCGGCUCGAGUGGUAACCGCUAUUAUUGGGUCUAAAGGGUCUGUAGCCGG